This 372-nucleotide ribosomal RNA is filed under the name uncultured Lysinibacillus sp. RNAcentral's name for it is "bacterial SSU rRNA". It matches the Rfam family "Bacterial small subunit ribosomal RNA", at positions 157 to 515 of the family's 1533-position model. The record is from RNAcentral. Lineage: Bacteria; Bacillati; Bacillota; Bacilli; Caryophanales; Bacillaceae.
CCGGGGCUAAUACCGAAUAAUCUAUGUCACCUCAUGGUGACAUACUGAAAGACGGUUUCGGCUGUCGCUAUAGGAUGGGCCCGCGGCGCAUUAGCUAGUUGGUGAGGUAAUGGCUCACCAAGGCGACGAUGCGUAGCCGACCUGAGAGGGUGAUCGGCCACACUGGGACUGAGACACGGCCCAGACUCCUACGGGAGGCAGCAGUAGGGAAUCUUCCACAAUGGGCGAAAGCCUGAUGGAGCAACGCCGCGUGAGUGAAGAAGGUUUUCGGAUCGUAAAACUCUGUUGUAAGGGAAGAACAAGUACAGUAGUAACUGGCUGUACCUUGACGGUACCUUAUUAGAAAGCCACGGCUAACUACGUGCCAGCAGC